GGUUUUUUCUUUGGGUAGCGAUUGCAUGCGUAUGGCUCCAAAACCGGAGGUAGCAGCAGAUCAGUGGAUCACGCCCGUUUCCUCACUCUCUCUCUCUCUCUCUCUUUCUGUCCCUUCCUUCGUCUUCGAUAUACCCAGCAAGAGCAAGCGGAGCUCCCCACGAAUAGCGGACGAUUCAUGGCAUAUUCGUGGCUCACAUCAGCUCAAAUCUGACGAGCGCCUUCCUCCUCCCGUGCUCCGCCUUGUUCUUCACGGCAUCUCUAAGCUAUCAUUCAAAAGGACCCGGCUUCGUCCAGAUUAUUGACCAGUGGGGUCGUUCAUCAUAACCAUCACAUCGUCAUCAUUGCUUGCUGACGGGUUGGCUUAUCCUUGUGUUUUUCUGUUUUCUUCUAAGUUUCAGCCUGUGCCAGGAUUUGAAGUAUGUCUUUUAAAAAGUUACGGGCAAGUGGAGCAGAGAAAAGUCUGUCCUUCGAGGAGCAACAGACCAAGGUCAAUGAAGUCAGAAAGAUUUUGGGGCCUAUUGCUGAUAAGCUUCCAACACUAUGUUCAGAUGCAUCAAUCAUAAGGUACCUCAAAGCAAGAAACUGGAACACGAAGAAGGCGGCCAAGAUGGUGAAAGAAACAUUGAAAUGGAGACUGGUUUACAAGCCAGAAAAAAUUAGAUGGGAAGACAUCGCUCGUGAAGCUGAGACAGGUAAAAUCUACAGGGCCAAUUACUUCGACAAGAAUGGAAGGACUGUUCUUGUCAUGAGACCGGGUUUUCAGAAUACAACCGCAACAGAGGGGCAGAUUAAGUAUUUGGUUUAUUGUAUGGAAAACGCAAUUACGAAUUUAAAGCCAAGUCAGGAACAAAUGGUGUGGCUAAUUGAUUUUCAAGGAUGGAACAUGUCAAGCAUAUCAGUGAAGGUGACUCGGGAGACGGCACAUAUAUUGCAGGAUUAUUAUCCUGAGAGACUGGGCAUUGGAAUCCUCUAUAAUCCACCCAAAAUAUUUGAGUCCUUUUGGAAGAUAGUGAAACCAUUCCUCGAGACCAAGACAUUCAAGAAGGUCAAGUUUGUCUACUCAGAUGAUCCACAAAGCCAAAAGAUAAUGGAAGAGCUAUUUGAUAGGGAUGAGCUGGAAUCUGCAUUUGGGGGCAAAAACCCUGCCGGUUUCAACUAUGAGACCUAUGCGCAACAGAUGAGAGAGGAAGAAAAGGAAAUGUCCUAUUUAGUCUCUGAUUCCGUCUCUGAUUCUUCUCUACCAACCUAUCUAUCCCCAGCUGAGUCUGAAAUACACCAGGAAGACACAUCCAUUUCAGACCCUGAUUCCGAGCCCUCUGAAGAAGGAGGCCAUUCACCGAGUCAUGAGAUGGCUUCUCUAAAUUUAGAGGAGGGUGUGAACAAAGCAGCGGUCACGCUACCUGUCAGUAAUGACCCGGGACACAGUCAAUCAGAAGCAGCCAAAGAGGUAUACCGGAAGGAUCCAGCAUGAGUAUCUAUGGUUGUUUUACUCAUUUAUUUUGUUGUCCUCUAUCAUCCAUUAGGCCUAUCGUGCAUCAGUGACGAACACCUCAAUCAGUGGACAAAUGUCCAACAGUAGAACCGAAUUCUGAAAGACCUCAUUUACAUUUGUCGUCAGAAAAAUCUAUAACCUGUUCAUUUUCCGAAUUAGAAGAUGCUGGGACUGUAUUGUGCCACUCUCGCAUUAUCUCAGACACCCAGCCUGGUUUUGGAGAAGCAUCAACCAAUAUGGAAGAUGUUGAAGAUUAGAAACCGCCACCUUGUGCCAAGCACGUCCCUUUUGCCUUGGCCUGGAAGUAACCACCCCAAUAUAACUAGCUAUUUCUCUGAGAAGUGAUGCUAACCAUGUGAUUUUGCUACGCCUGUUACUUAAAGAUUGCGAUAUAAACAGACAGAUCGUUCAUUGGUAAAAUGCCUCCCAUAAGGUGGUCACGGAAAGGAACCCAAAUAGAAAAGUACAGCUUUGCUGAAGCUUAUCGAGAUUGGGGACCUCGACACUUCUAACCGGAAAAUUUGAUUGAUUUGCUAUACUUGUUCUGCUAUAAUUCCUUGUCGAACCUUGGAAAAGAAUCUCGGAAAUGUUUCGUCUCCCUUCGCU
Rhodamnia argentea is the source of this 2100-nucleotide RNA transcript. It is a transcript of the gene named phosphatidylinositol transfer protein 3-like, with no coding region annotated. The transcript has 8 exons. The record is from RefSeq and is a predicted model, not a curated record. NCBI's taxonomy places the organism in Eukaryota, Viridiplantae, Streptophyta, Magnoliopsida, Myrtales, Myrtaceae.